RNAcentral lists this ribosomal RNA (497 nucleotides) under uncultured bacterium. RNAcentral describes it as "partial 16S ribosomal RNA". It matches the Rfam family "Bacterial small subunit ribosomal RNA", at positions 28 to 507 of the family's 1533-position model. The record is from RNAcentral.
GAUGAACGCUGGCGGCGUGCCUAAUACAUGCAAGUCGAGCGAACGGACGAGAAGCUUGCUUUUCUGAUGUUAGCGGCGGACGGGUGAGUGACACGUGGAUAACCUACCUAUAAGACUGGGAUAACUUCGGGAAACCGGAGCUAAUACCGGAUAAUAUUUUGAACCGCAUGGUUCAAAAGUGAAAGACGGUCUUGCUGUCACUUAUAGAUGGAUCCGCGCUGCAUUAGCUAGUUGGUAAGGUAACGGCUUACCAAGGCAACGAUGCAUAGCCGACCUGAGAGGGUGAUCGGCCACACUGGAACUGAGACACGGUCCAGACUCCUACGGGAGGCAGCAGUAGGGAAUCUUCCGCAAUGGGCGAAAGCCUGACGGAGCAACGCCGCGUGAGUGAUGAAGGUCUUCGGAUCGUAAAACUCUGUUAUUAGGGAAGAACAUAUGUGUAAGUAACUGUGCACAUCUUGACGGUACCUAAUCAGAAAGCCACGGCUAACUACGUG